Molecule: unclassified non-coding RNA, 1457 nt
Filed under: Hevea brasiliensis (rubber tree)
Lineage: Eukaryota; Viridiplantae; Streptophyta; Magnoliopsida; Malpighiales; Euphorbiaceae
Source: RNAcentral
AUCAUUUACUGGUUUAGUUUCCCUAAAUGCUGAUGCAUGUGUUGAAGGCAAUAAUCUUUAUAUAUCAAAGGAUAAUUCUGUUGUGCAAGGAAAGAUAUCUGAUGGUUUUGGACGUGCUGGGACAAUGGCUGCUGCCCUGGUUUUAAAGGUUACAGAUAGAAAUGGUCUUUGGGAUGACACUCUUAGUAUCUAUGCUGAGGCAUCCAAUGGGCAGAUGCCCAACCUAGACCUCAUCAAUAUUGUGAAUUAUUUAGCUGUACAUAGGCAAGGUUUGCUUGUACAGAUUCAGAAAUUUUGGUCUGAUCUUGAUUUAAAAUGGCUGGAGUUUUUGGGAAAAACAUUUGAAUUACUAGGGAAAGUGGCCAGAAGUUUAAAUCCCAACUGGAAAUUUGGUAUUCCAGCUUCAGAUUAUAUCGAAGGCUCUACUACACUUGCAAGUUCAUUGUAUUACCAGGCACUAGGUAUUCCCACAGGUCCCCAUGGUGCUUUCCGUGAUUUCCAAGUUGAUGCAAUUACUUUGGAGAUCUCACCCAGAGUUUCUUCUAAUAACAAAGCCAGGCGUAAUGAGUUUCUUCUGCGAGGUGGAAGGUUGAUUGAAGGAGUUAUAAGAUCAGUAAAUAAUCUCCUCGAGAAGUUUCACCAGUCAUUUUUUCUAUAUCUCUUAACAUCUCCCAGUAAGUUUGUGUCAGUUGGAGUCUACAUGAUUGCUUUUGCACUCCUUGUAGCUCCACUUCCCCUGGUUGCUGCGUCCCUUUAUGCUGAUGCUAAUGAAUUGGAUUUUGGCAUGAAAAAUGACAAAUAUACUCCUAUGGACACUGCAUCAAAUGAGAUAAACAUAACUUUCAGGUCAUGGAAAUGGCUCAGUGCAGCAAAAGAAGUGUUUGUCGUUCAUAUAUGGGGUGUGAUAGUUUUGUUGCUUCCAUAUUUCAUUUGUCAAAUGCGUGAUUGGAGCCCAACAACCAGUUUUGUUUCCUGGGUAUUUCUUGCAAUGCUUAGCCUCCUAAUCUUGUACCUGAUCUUAGGUUCACCAUUUUCUCAUGGCUAUUCAUUGGAGAAAGGGGAAUGGGCUAUGUUAAAAUCAGUGACCAUCUCAGCCAUUUUCAUUGGUUUGCUGCUCAUGUCAGUUGUUAAUUUUGCUACAGCAGAAAUUGGGGCAUUACUAAUGGUGCCAAUGUGUUUGAUGGCUCAACCAUUGAAGCCUGACAUUAGAGUUGCAAGUUUGAGGAGCUUCUUCAGGGUUAUUUGUAACCUGGUUUUGGGUUUUGUUGCAUUUCCACCAGUUACAUUUUUUAUGUUAAAGGGUAUAUUUGAAGGUCCUGACGGCAUUAACCUUGGUGACUUCUGGAAUUGGUUGGAGUCUCUUUGGGCUUGGAACAGUGCUACUUACAUCUAUAUAGGUAUGGUCCACCUACCGUGUUGGGUGUUGUGCAUACACAUUUUACUUCAUUCUUGUUGAC